RNAcentral lists this unclassified non-coding RNA (6058 nucleotides) under Aphidius gifuensis. RNAcentral's name for it is "homeotic protein spalt-major-like, transcript variant X3". The record is from RNAcentral. Lineage: Eukaryota; Metazoa; Arthropoda; Insecta; Hymenoptera; Braconidae.
AUACUAGUGGUGAUAAAAAUUAAUAAUAAAUUUUUGCCGUCGGAUUUAUAAACUUUGAUGCAAUUUUUUUUGUUCGAAUUAAUAUAUUAUUUUAUUUUUAUAAAAAAGAUUUUAUUGAAUAUUAUACUGUGGUAAAAUGUCUUCAAAGACUGAUAUUAAUCAUAACAUGAGUUUAAUGAAAUGGAGUAUUACAAAACGAUUAGAAGGUCUAACUAAAAAACAAUUAAAACGUACAUAUGAUGUAUUUUUACGUAAUUCCGAAGAUGAAAAUGAUACAGGAUCAGAAAAUGAAGAUACACAUGUAACUGGAGAAGAAGCUGUAGAUUUAACAUCAAAUAGAUCAUCACAUCAUGAAGAGGAUGAUGAUGAAAGAGAGGCAUCAGAAUCACCAAUGGAUGAAGAUGAAGAAGACGAUAAUAAUAUAGAUAAUAUUAAAAAUGAUGCUCAUAAUGAUCCUAUUGAUGAUGAUGAAAAUUCAAAAAAACAAAUUGAAAAUCUUCAAGAUGCAGAAAAUAAUAAUGAUGGUAUAUUUUCAUUGGCAUCUGGUCAUACGAGUCAUGUUACACUUGAAGCAUUACAAAAUACAAAAGUUGCUGUUGCACAAUUUGCAGCAAAAGCAUUGGCUGGUUGUGUUGAUGACUCAGCAAAACGAGAGUUUGAAUUAGUAAAAAGUACAUUACAAGAAUUACAAGAUCAACAAUCUCGUCAAAUACAAUUAAUUGAUCAUUUACAACAACAAUUAUCAAUUACACAUAAACAAUCUGGUGAUAAUAUUAAAGAAGAAGGUAGUGAUCUCACGUCAGUACUUUCAUCACCACUAGGAUUUUUAUAUCCAAAAUCAAUAUCAAGUUUAACAUUAAAUCCAUUAACAAUACCAUCAUCACUAUUACUACCAACAACUAUAACAUCACCACCAACACCAUCAACAACGCCAACGACAACAACAAUGGCAACAAAUACAUUAUCAUCAAUUGGUACAGCAAUACCAUCAUCAGCAUCAGUAGCAGCAACAUUAGCAGCAACAAUUGCAUCAAGACCAUUACUUCAUCAUCAUAAUAUGAUGACAUCAUCAAGUUGUUCAACAACAUCAACAUCACCAGUGACUGUAAUAUCAGCUCCAAGCUUCACAAGUCAUCAUGAUGAUUCUCGUUCAAAUAGUUUAUCACCAGUAUCACUUGUAUUACCAACAUCAACAACAACAACAACAUCAGCAGCAACAACACCAAUAUCAUCGUCAUCAUCAUCAUCAAUAAUUGAUACAACAGCUGCAGUACCAACGAUAACAACACAUAAUAAUAAUAAUAAUAAUCCAUCAAAUAUGUUACCAUCACAUCCAGGUUUAGCAUCAAUAUCAUCAUCAUUAGCAUCAACAAUUAUAACAAAUAAUGAUCCAUUACCACUUAAUGAACCAAAUACAUUGGAAAUGUUACAAAAACGUGCACAAGAAGUACUUGAUAAUGCAAGUCAAGGUUUAUUAGCAAAUAAUUUAGCUGAUGAAUUAGCAUUUAGAAGUGGUAAAAGUGGUUCACGUUUAUCACCAUACGAUUCAAAAUCAUCUGGUGGACGUGGUGAGCCAUUCUUCAAGCAUCGUUGUCGUUAUUGCGGCAAAGUAUUUGGCAGUGAUUCGGCACUACAGAUCCACAUUAGAUCACAUACAGGUGAGCGUCCAUUUAAAUGCAAUGUAUGUGGAAGCCGUUUCACUACCAAGGGCAAUCUAAAGGUUCACUUUCAACGGCAUACUGCUAAAUUUCCACAUGUUAAAAUGAAUCCUAAUCCUGUGCCUGAACACCUUGACAAAUAUCAUCCACCUUUAUUACAACAAUUGGCUGCCUCUGGGCAACGUUCAUUAUCAUCACCACCAUUACCACCACCUCUUCCACCACCGCUACCACCACUACCACCAUCAUUACAACAACAACAACAUCAACAACAACAACAACAACAAUCACCACCACCACCACCUCCACCACCACAGCCACCAUCAUCAUCAUCAUCAUCAUCAACAGCAACAACAGCAACGACAUCGUCAUUAUUAUUGUCAACAACAUCAACAGCAACAACAACGACAUCAUCCUCACCUAUAAUUAUUCCUGGUGGUACUCCAAAUACAACAAAUUUACAUUCACCGUAUCGUCCACAACAACAACAAUCACCUUGUUUAUUACCACCAACAACGCACGGUUUUUUAAGUCCUCAACCACCCUUACCAAUGAAUAUUGCGUUACCAAUUGCAGCUGGUGUUUUACCAUCCUUUUAUCAUCGUCUUCCAAUUAUAAAUAAUUGUAUUGGUGCUAUUAACAAUAAUAAUAAUAAUAAUAACGAUGAUGAUGAACAAGAUUUACCUGAAAAUUUAAGCAAAUCAACAACAACAACAGAAACAACAACAGCAACAACAACAAUGCCAACAGAAACAACAGCUCCAACGAUAUUAUCAUCAAGUGUAUCAACAUCAACAACAACAUCACCAUCACAUUCACCCCGUUCAUCACCUUUAUCAUUAUCCAUGCAAUCAUCCUCAACAUUACAAACUACUACCUCCUUAUUAAAUAACAAUAAUAAUAAUAAUCAUAAUAAUAACAAUAAUAAUACUCCAAUUCAUUCCUAUCAUCAACAUUUACAACAACAACAACAACAUCUUAAUCAUAGUGAAACAUCACGUGAUAGUAUUAUAAAACGUGAACAACAAUCAUCACCAGAACCAAGACCAAUGAGUUGUGAUAAUAAUAAUGAUGAUAAUAUGCAAAUAAUACCAAAAAAAGAACCAGAAGAAACAAUUGAUGAAUUACCAGAUGAAGAAUCAGAAGAAUUAUUUGAACCAUUAUCACCAGCAUCACGUAAUAGAUAUUUAGAUCAUUCAGUAUCAAUGAAUUAUCAUCAAAAUAUUAUUAAUGAACGUAUGUCACAAUCACAACAAUUUCAUCAUCAACAACAAUUACAGCUACAUCAUCAACAACAACAACAACAACAACAACAACAACAAUCAUAUGAAGAUUGUAGUAUGGAUAGUAGUAAAGUAAGUGGACAUUGUAUUGAUGAUGAUGACGAUGAUGAUGAAGAAAUGGAUGAACAACCAGAAAAUUUAUCAGCACGUGAAUCAUCAAUACGUCAUUAUCAACAAUCAUUAAAUUAUCAUAAUCAAUCUGGUGCAUCACCAGCAAGUAGUACAGCAUCAAGUGGAAGUUUACAAACAUCAUUUGCUGGUUUAUUAUAUCCUCCAGUAACAACAUUACAAAAUUCACAUAAUAAUAAUCAUCAUCAAUCACAUAAUGUUAAAUUAAAUAAUAAUGAAAAUAUGAUGGUUGAUCCAGCACGUGAUCCAGCAGUAUAUUCAAAUUUAUUACCACGUCCAGGUAGUAAUGAUAAUUCAUGGGAAAGUCUUAUUGAAAUAACAAAAACAUCUGAAACAUCAAAAUUACAACAACUUGUUGAUAAUAUUGAACAUAAAUUAACUGAUCCAAAUCAAUGUAUUAUUUGUCAUCGUGUAUUAUCAUGUAAAAGUGCAUUACAAAUGCAUUAUAGAACACAUACUGGUGAACGUCCAUUUAAAUGUAAAAUAUGUGGACGUGCAUUUACAACAAAAGGUAAUUUAAAAACACAUAUGGGUGUACAUAGAGCUAAACCACCAUUACGUGUAUUACAUCAAUGUCCAGUAUGUCAUAAAAAAUUUACAAAUACAUUAGUAUUACAACAACAUAUACGUAUACAUACUGGUGAACCAACAGAUCUUAGUUUAGAACAAAUACAAGCUGCUGAAGUUAAUGAUUUUCCACCAGGUUAUCCACCACAUCAUCCAUUAGCAUCAUUUUUACCACAAGGUUUUCCUGGUUUACAUAAUGGUCCUGGUGGUUUUCCAAUUGGUUAUCCAGCAACACGACAUUUAUCAAUGGAACAUCAUCCAUCACAUGACGAUAUGGAUAUUAAAGAUAGAAUAACAGCACAUUAUAAUCAUCAACGUUAUAUUGAUGAACAAUCAGAAGAUAUGAUGGAUGAUCAAGAUGAUGUUGAUGAUGAAAAUAAUGAAGAUGAUGAUGAUGAUAUUGAUGAUGAUGAACAACGACAACAACGACAUCAUCAUCUUCUUCUUCUUCAUCAUCAGCGUCAACAACAACAACAACAACAUCUACAACAAUUACAACAACUACAACAACAACAACAAAAACAACAACAACGUGAUAAUGAUAUUAUGUCAAAUUGUGAUGAAUCACGUGAUAAACGUGAAUUAAAUGAUAUUAAUGAUGAUGAUAAUGAUGAUAAUGAUGAUGAUAUUGAUAAUGAUGAUAAAAAGACUGAAAAAAAUGAUAAUAAAUUAAUAUCAUCAAUGCCUAUUAAUUUUUCAACAUCAUUAGCUGCACUUGAAAAUCAAGUACGUACAAUAACAACAAUGGCAACAUCAGCUGGUUCAAUAUCAUCACUUGAUAAAUAUCAUUGUAGUGAAAAAAGUACAAGUCCAGUAAGUUCAAUUAUUGGUACACCACUUGAUUUAACACCACGUGCAUCAUCAUCACCUGGAUCAAUUGUAUCAACAUCAACACCACCACCACCAUCAUCACUGCCACAAUUACCUUCAACAACUGCAACAUCAUCAACAACAACAACAGCAGCAACAACAACAACCACAGCAGCAGCAACAAAUCCAUUUGGUAUGUUUGCUGGUAUAAUACAAGCUGUAUCAUCAUCAUCGUCAUCAUCUGCAUCAUCAUCAUCAGCAUCAUCAUCACCAAAUAAUUUACAAACAUCAAAUAGUACUAUUGGUGUUGGUGUUAAUAGUAGUAAUAGUGGUAUUGGUGAUGGUAAUGGUAGUGGUAGUGGUACAACUGGUGUUGGAUCAUCAAUGAACGUGAUCAAUCCAGGAACUGGUGGAAGCGGUGGUGGAGGAGCACUUGCUUCACUAACAACAUCCUCUGUACUUGCUGCAUCAUCGACCUACAAUCCGCUCGGUCUCGCUGUUGGAGGCCCAGCAGUACGUGGCAACACAACGUGUAAUAUCUGCUACAAAACAUUUGCGUGUAAUUCAGCACUGGAGAUACAUUAUCGGAGUCACACGAAGGAGCGACCAUUCAAAUGCACUAUUUGUGACCGUGGUUUUUCAACAAAGAAUGAUGAUACAAUAAUGAGAACGUGUAAAUGUAUGGAUCAACGUGAUGGAAGUACAACAAUCCAAUUACAACAACAGAAUAAACAAAAUAAUCAGUGUGGACAGAGUGGACAGAAUACAAAAAGCAGGCGACGAAGGAACGAGGAUAAGAAGAACCGGGGGCGGACAGUUAUCGGAGGGGGGCGGGGGGCUCUGACGUCUGUCUGUGCUACCUCUGUCCACCUGCCCCCGCGGAUGCCAGCCGCCCUCGGACUUCUCGCCUCGAACCACGUCUUCCUGGGUAAUAUGAAGCAGCACAUGUUGACACAUAAAAUUCGUGAUUUACCAUCUCAUAUGUAUGGUGAUUCAAAACAAGUUGGACAAUCACCACAAUCUGGUAAUCAAGAACAACAACAACAACAAAGAUCACAAGAAUUACGUGAUCAAAGACAUCAUCAAGAUCGAGAAAGUUCACAUAGUCCAAUGGAACCAGAUGAAUCAAGUUUACCACCACCGCCACCACCACCACCAUUGCCACCAUCUGCAUCAGCACCAGCAGUGACACAACCAUCAUUGCCAUUACCAUUACCACCACCUUCAUCACCAAUGACACCUUCGUCACUUCAUGAACAACCUAUGCCAAUAAAAAGAUCACCAACUGAGGGUGAUCUUCCAGCCCCAAAGAGACCGAGUUCAUAUGGGAACACACAUGUGGACAAAUGGAGCAUCAAGAAGAGGCAGAAGAAUGUCACUGGAUUUACCACCACUUCCAAUAACACCAAAAGACUCGGAAUUUUUACAAAGACGACCUGAUCUUUUUUAUCCAUAUUUACCAGGUCCAGGAUUUCUUAAUGGUGUUCAACAAAAGUUGAGUGAAAUAUCAGUAAUUCAAGGAAACAAUGGUUUACCAGUAAAUCAUCCAGCAGCUGGUAAAUAUGCUGGAUUAUUUGGUUCACUAUAUGGUGGUGGUGGUGGUUUAAAUCU